This 492-nucleotide ribosomal RNA is filed under the name uncultured bacterium. Its description in RNAcentral is "partial 16S ribosomal RNA". It matches the Rfam family "Bacterial small subunit ribosomal RNA", at positions 29 to 507 of the family's 1533-position model. The record is from RNAcentral.
AGUGAACGCUGGCGGUAGGCCUAACACAUGCAAGUCGAACGGCAGCACAGUAAGAGCUUGCUCUUACGGGUGGCGAGUGGCGGACGGGUGAGGAAUACAUCGGAAUCUACUUUUUCGUGGGGGAUAACGUAGGGAAACUUACGCUAAUACCGCAUACGACCUACGGGUGAAAGCAGGGGAUCUUCGGACCUUGCGCGAUUGAAUGAGCCGAUGUCGGAUUAGCUAGUUGGCGGGGUAAAGGCCCACCAAGGCGACGAUCCGUAGCUGGUCUGAGAGGAUGAUAAGCCACACGGGAACUGAGACACGGUCCAGACGCCUACGGGAGGCAGCAGUGGGGAAUAUUGGACAAUGGGCGCAAGCCUGAUCCAGCCAUACCGCGUGGGUGAAGAAGGCCUUCGGGUUGUAAAGCCCUUUUGUUGGGAAAGAAAAGCAGCAGGUUAAUACCCCGCUGUUCUGACGGUACCCAAAGAAUAAGCACCGGCUAACUUCGUG